GCAAUGUUUACAUUGCAGCACUAAGUCUGCCUCCAGUGGCUGUCUCCCAGUGCUUCCUAGAUUGAAAUACUCUCCAUGAACCAUCCUUUCCUAUUGGGAGGUCUAAUGUGCAGGACAUCAGAGGGGGCGGAGCAGCGCCCCAGCGUCUGAGGGACACUGGCGCUGGGGUAAGGUAAGUAAAUAACUGUUUUUAACCCUUAAUUUAAUGCGGAGGGUGGAGGCAGAGGAAGCAAUAGUACCAGGAAUACAGCUUUGUAUUCCUGCCACUAUAGUAUCCCUUUAAUAAGUUUGUUUGUUGCAGCUUAUAUGUACAAAACAUAGACUAUUGUAAUUAGGUAAAAAGCUCAAAAACAAUGCUGCAAGAAGGUUAAAACAUGCAGAUCAUCUUCUCUGGGAAAAAAUAAGGUGGAUAUUGCAGUUUUAUCAAAUCUGGACUUUGACAAAGUAAUAUACAUUGCUGGAAUAUUUUAAGCUCUCUCUGUGACAGAGCUGAUGGUAUGAUCGUUUAGAGACCUUUAUAGAGGUGACCCCUUAUGAAACUCAAUAUUACUUGGAAGCUAUCCUGAAUAGUUUGCUAUAUUUAUUAGCAUUGUAUAACUUAAGAGACAUGAAUACGGGAAGAACAAACUUCUAUUAGGUCAGUUUAUACAGCAAACAAUGUAAACCUAGCUCUCUCCUCGACAGGCUUCACAUAUCUUGAUAUUAAGAAUACACAGCCAAAGGAUCAACACUUUUAUGUUAUAAAUCUGCAGGGAGAUGUAGGACAUGUGUUACCUUGAAAUUUAUUUUUCAAUAAUUAUUUACUCAGG
Pelobates cultripes (western spadefoot toad) is the source of this 809-nucleotide non-coding RNA. The record is from the annotation of a GenBank genome assembly. NCBI's taxonomy places the organism in Eukaryota, Metazoa, Chordata, Amphibia, Anura, Pelobatidae.